GAAGGUGUGCUGUGAGGCAUGCUGGAGGUAUCAGAAGUGCGAAUGCUGACAUAAGUAACGAUAAAGCGGGUGAAAAGCCCGCUCGCCGGAAGACCAAGGGUUCCUGUCCAACGUUAAUCGGGGCAGGGUGAGUCGACCCCUAAGGCGAGGCCGAAAGGCGUAGUCGAUGGGAAACAGGUUAAUAUUCCUGUACUUGGUGUUACUGCGAAGGGGGGACGGAGAAGGCUAUGUUGGCCGGGCGACGGUUGUCCCGGUUUAAGCGUGUAGGCUGGUUUUCCAGGCAAAUCCGGAAAACUAAGGCUGAGGCGUGAUGACGAGGCACUACGGUGCUGAAGCAACAAAUGCCCUGCUUCCAGGAAAAGCCUCUAAGCAUCAGGUAACAUCAAAUCGUACCCCAAACCGACACAGGUGGUCAGGUAGAGAAUACCAAGGCGCUUGAGAGAACUCGGGUGAAGGAACUAGGCAAAAUGGUGCCGUAACUUCGGGAGAAGGCACGCUGAUAUGUAGGUGAGGUCCCUCGCGGAUGGAGCUGAAAUCAGUCGAAGAUACCAGCUGGCUGCAACUGUUUAUUAAAAACACAGCACUGUGCAAACACGAAAGUGGACGUAUACGGUGUGACGCCUGCCCGGUGCCGGAAGGUUAAUUGAUGGGGUUAGCGGUAACGCGAAGCUCUUGAUCGAAGCCCCGGUAAACGGCGGCCGUAACUAUAACGGUCCUAAGGUAGCGAAAUUCCUUGUCGGGUAAGUUCCGACCUGCACGAAUGGCGUAAUGAUGGCCAGGCUGUCUCCACCCGAGACUCAGUGAAAUUGAACUCGCUGUGAAGAUGCAGUGUACCCGCGGCAAGACGGAAAGACCCCGUGAACCUUUACUAUAGCUUGACACUGAACAUUGAGCCUUGAUGUGUAGGAUAGGUGGGAGGCUUAGAAGUGUGGACGCCAGUCUGCAUGGAGCCGACCUUGAAAUACCACCCUUUAAUGUUUGAUGUUCUAACGUGGACCCGUGAUCCGGGUUGCGGACAGUGUCUGGUGGGUAGUUUGACUGGGGCGGUCUCCUCCUAAAGAGUAACGGAGGAGCACGAAGGUUGGCUAAUCCUGGUCGGACAUCAGGAGGUUAGUGCAAUGGCAU
Molecule: ribosomal RNA, 1125 nt
Filed under: Escherichia coli
Lineage: Bacteria; Pseudomonadati; Pseudomonadota; Gammaproteobacteria; Enterobacterales; Enterobacteriaceae
Description: bacterial LSU rRNA
Rfam family: Bacterial large subunit ribosomal RNA
Source: RNAcentral